AACGAACGCUGGCGGCAUGCCUAACACAUGCAAGUCGAACGAGACCUUCGGGUCUAGUGGCGCACGGGUGCGUAACGCGGGGGAACCUGCCCUUAGGUUCGGAAUAACUCCCCGAGAGGGGUGCUAAGACCGGAUAAUUUCUUCGGACCAAAGAGUUGUCGAGUUUGGGUGGGCCCGCGUUGGAUUAGCUAGUUGGUAGGGUAAAAGCCUACCAAGGCGACGAUACAUAGCUGGGCAGAGAGGAUGGGCAGCCACACUGGGACUGGGAAGCGGCCCGGAAUCUUACGGGAGGCAGGAGUGGGGGAUAUUGGAAAAUGGGGGAAGGGCUGAUGCAGCAAGGCUGGGAGAGUGAUGAAGGCCGUAGAGUUGUAAAGCUCUUUUACCCGGGAGGAUAAUGACAGUACCGGGAGAAUAAGCACCGGCUAACUACGUG
Molecule: ribosomal RNA, 433 nt
Filed under: uncultured bacterium
Lineage: Bacteria
Description: partial 16S ribosomal RNA
Rfam family: Bacterial small subunit ribosomal RNA
Source: RNAcentral